This 497-nucleotide ribosomal RNA is filed under the name uncultured bacterium. Its description in RNAcentral is "partial 16S ribosomal RNA". It matches the Rfam family "Bacterial small subunit ribosomal RNA", at positions 28 to 507 of the family's 1533-position model. The record is from RNAcentral.
GAUGAACGCUGGCGGCGUGCCUAAUACAUGCAAGUCGAGCGAACAGACGAGGAGCUUGCUCCUCUGACGUUAGCGGCGGACGGGUGAGUAACACGUGGAUAACCUACCUAUAAGACUGGGAUAACUUCGGGAAACCGGAGCUAAUACCGGAUAAUAUAUUGAACCGCAUGGUUCAAUAGUGAAAGACGGUUUUGCUGUCACUUAUAGAUGGAUCCGCGCCGCAUUAGCUAGUUGGUAAGGUAACGGCUUACCAAGGCAACGAUGCGUAGCCGACCUGAGAGGGUGAUCGGCCACACUGGAACUGAGACACGGUCCAGACUCCUACGGGAGGCAGCAGUAGGGAAUCUUCCGCAAUGGGCGAAAGCCCGACGGAGCAACGCCGCGUGAGUGAUGAAGGUCUUCGGAUCGUAAAACUCUGUUAUUAGGGAAGAACAAAUGUGUAAGUAACUAUGCACGUCUUGACGGUACCUAAUCAAAAAGCCACGGCUAACUACGUG